RNAcentral lists this ribosomal RNA (504 nucleotides) under uncultured bacterium. RNAcentral describes it as "bacterial SSU rRNA". It matches the Rfam family "Bacterial small subunit ribosomal RNA", at positions 21 to 518 of the family's 1533-position model. The record is from RNAcentral.
GGCUCAGGAUGAACGCUAGCGGCAGGCUUAACACAUGCAAGUCGAGGGGCAGCGCGAGUAGCAAUACUUGGCGGCGACCGGCGCAAGGGUGCGUAACGCGUGAGCAACAUGCCCGUAUCAGGGGGAUAAUCCAGGGAAACUUGGUCUAAUACCCCAUAGUAAUUUUGUAAGGCAUCUUAUAAGAUUUAAAGCUUUGGUGGAUACGGAUUGGCUCGCGUGACAUUAGCUGGAUGGUAAGGUAACGGCUUACCAUGGCUAUGAUGUCUAGGGGUUCUGAGAGGAAGGUCCCCCACACUGGAACUGAGACACGGUCCAGACUCCUACGGGAGGCAGCAGUGAGGAAUAUUGGACAAUGGAUGGAAAUCUGAUCCAGCCAUGCCGCGUGAAAAGGAAGAAGGUCCUAUGGAUUGUAAACUUCUUUUGUAUGGGAGCAAUAAGGCCUACGAGUAGGUUGAUGAGAGUACCAUACGAAUAAGCACCGGCUAACUCCGUGCCAGCCGCCGC